GGUAAUACCUGAUGAUCCCGACGGGUCGCAUGUUCCGCCGAUCAAAGCUCCGGCGGCCUGAGAGCAGCCUAUGUCCUAUCAGCUUGUUGGUGGGGUAAUGGCCUACCAAGGCGACGACGGGUAGCGGGCGUGAGAGCGUGACCCGCCACAUCGGGACUGAGACACUGCCCGGACACCUACGGGUGGCUGCAGCAACGAAUAUUCCGCAAUGGGCGAAAGCCUGACGGAGCGACGCCGCGUGUGGGAUGAAGUCCUUCGGGAUGUAAACCACUGUCAGGGGUUAGAAAGAUCUGAUCAGCCCCACAGGAAGCCUCGACUAACUCCGUGCCAGCAGUCGCGGUAAUACGGAGGAGGCAAGCGUUGUUCGGAAUUACUGGGCUUAAAGCGCGUGUAGGCGGAUGGGUAAGUGUCAAGUGAAAGCCCCCGGCUCAACCGGGGAACUGCUAGGCAAACUGCUCGUCUUGAGGCAGGUAGGGGUGCAUGGAACUCUAGGUGGAGCGGUGAAAUGCGUAGAUAUCUAGAGGAACGCCGGUGGCGAAAGCGGUGCACUGGGCCUGUUCUGACGCUGAGACGCGAAAGCGUAGGGAGCGAACGGGAUUAGAUACCCCGGUAGUCUACGCCGUAAACGAUGCGCACUAGGCUCGAGGACUUCUGACGGUGCUCGGGCCGAAGCAAAAGUGUUAAGUGCGCCGCCUGGGGAGUACGGCCGCAAGGCUAAAACUCAAAGGAAUUGACGGGGGCUCACACAAGCGGUGGAGCAUGUGGAUCAAUUCGAAGCAACGCGAAGAACCUUACCUGGGUUUGACAUGCUUGGAUGCGUCCCUUGGAAACAGGAGUAGGCUGCCUUCGGGUGAAACUUGCACAGGUGCUGCAUGGCUGUCGUCAGCUCGUGCUGUGAAGUGUUGGGUUAAGUCCCGUAACGAGCGAAACCCUUAUCGUUAGUUGCCAGCGGGUCAUGCCGGGGACUCUAGCGAGACUGCCGGUGUUAAACCGGAGGAAGGCGGGGAUGACGUCAAGUCCUCAUGGCCUUUACGCCCAGGGUGUCACACGUGCUACAAUGGGGUGAACAAAGCGACGCGAUCCGGUGACGGGGAGCAAAUCGCAAAAAACACCCCUCAGUUCGGAUUGGAGUCUGCAACUCGACUCCAUGAAGUUGGAAUCGCUAGUAAUCGCGUAUCAGCCACGACGCGGUGAAUAUGUUCCUGAGCCUUGUACACACCGCCCGUCAAGUCAUGGAAGCCGGGAGCACCCGUAGUCCGCUUAGUCAACCC
RNAcentral lists this ribosomal RNA (1271 nucleotides) under uncultured prokaryote. Its description in RNAcentral is "partial 16S ribosomal RNA". It matches the Rfam family "Bacterial small subunit ribosomal RNA", at positions 162 to 1441 of the family's 1533-position model. The record is from RNAcentral.